UACAGAGGUCCCAAGCGUUGUUCGGAUUCACUGGGCGUAAAGGGUGCGUAGGCGGUCGGGUAAGUCUGACGUGAAAUCUUCGAGCCUAACUCGGAAACUGCGUCGGAUACUAUUCGGCUAGAGGAAUGGAGGGGAGACUGGAAUACUUGGUGUAGCAGUGAAAUGCGUAGAUAUCGAGAGGAACACCAGUGGCGAAGGCGAGUCCCUGGACAACUCCUGACGCUGAGGCACGAAAGCUAGGGGAGCAAACAGG
This 253-nucleotide ribosomal RNA is filed under the name uncultured bacterium. RNAcentral's name for it is "partial 16S ribosomal RNA". It matches the Rfam family "Bacterial small subunit ribosomal RNA", at positions 524 to 776 of the family's 1533-position model. The record is from RNAcentral.